AUGGGUGCCCAUGAGCCGUAUUCACCUUGUCCAUCAGAGAGAGAUGGAGCACACCUUGAAAGGCAGCCCAAGAAUCUCAUUCUAGAUAUCAUCAGGCUGCUCGAGUUUUACACUUACAAUUUGGAAUAACAAGAGAGGAAAGUAGGAGCAUUGUAAAAACCUGUACAGCUUGUCUUCCUUUCCACGUUCCUACACUACUUCGAGAGAAGAACUCUUGUGGUUUGAGAGACAGUGAAAUUUGGCAAAUGGAUUUGACCCUUUAUAAAUCUUUUUCGUCUGUCUUUUAUCCGUGUUGUAGACACUUUUCAGGAUUCACUUUGCAAUAGCAGCAGCAAAAGAGACAAGGCGAGUGGUCACUGAAUUCCUUAUACAAGCAUUGCAAUUAUGGGUGCACCACAAGCAAUGAAAACAGACAAUGGACCUGUAUAUACUAAUAAACAUUUUGCACACUUUUGUGCACAGUGUAAGAUUUUACACACCACUACCAUACCUUUUAAUCCUCAAGUACAGGCAAUAGUAGAGAAGAGAAACAAAGACAUAAAGAUGUCCUCCAAAAACAAAAGAAAGGGGGAGCCACAGGCAACCUAGAGAACUUGUCAAUCUAGCUCUUUAUAUUAUUUCUUGAUUUUUGACAAGGUGCAUUGGCUCUGGCAGGCAGGUUUUAUAACCCACCAGAAGGGCAGUGUCCAGUGCGAGCAGCUCCACUAUCUAAAUAAUCGCCAGGUGAUGUGGAGAGGCCCAGAAAGUGGUGAAUGGAAGGGACGGAUAGAUAAACUGCUUAGGGGAGAGGGUUUGCUUGUAUCUCCACAAAUGGAGAAGGAAUCAGAUGGGUCCCAAUGAGCCGUAUUCACCUUGUCCAUCAGAGAGAGAUGGAGCACACCUUGAAAGGAAGUACACCCAAGAAACUUCUGGUGGUUCCAUUGCUGACUGUGCUCAUCACUGAAUGAGCAUAGCAGUUAUGGCGUUUGACUCAUGUACAUCAAAAAUUAUAGAACUUCAAAAUUCUCAGGAAUCAUUGGAUUCUCUGAGACAUGAUAAGACUGUUGCAGGACUUCUCUACUAUUGUGUGUACUUGAAUCAUUGGAUUCCCUAACACAUAAAAAGACUGUUGCAGGACUUCAAAAACUUGUGGGAAUCACUGGGUCCCCUGACAUGUGAAGCAAUGGACAAUAGAUUGAUUUUGGACUCUCUCUUGGCUGCUGAAGAAGGCGUUUGUGUGACUGUUGUUUACAUACCCUCUUCUAGGACUUCUGAAAAUCUUUUACAACACUAUGUUGAUUCAUGUUGUUAUAUCACUACUUGCAUGUACAAUUGAUGUCUGUUGCACCACAAUGAGCCUGCACUGGUUGUGGGGAGUGUCAUCACUACUAGCCUGUGUGUUAUUGAUAUGUGCUUGUGUAACACCUCCCAUGCUGAUGGGUUUGUGCAUACCUGAUUCUAAUAAAAUCCUUCAGCCCAGAAA
Molecule: long non-coding RNA, 1462 nt
Organism: Antechinus flavipes (yellow-footed antechinus)
Lineage: Eukaryota; Metazoa; Chordata; Mammalia; Dasyuromorphia; Dasyuridae
Exons: 2
Source: RefSeq, a predicted model, not a curated record